AACCUGCGGAGGAAUCAUUACCAAGUAAGGGCUCACCCCCGACCUCCAACCCUUUGUGAACCACACCUGUUGCUUCGGGGGCGGCCCUGCCGGCGAACUCGUCGCCGGGCGCCCCCGGAGGUCUCCUUAACACUGCAUCUCUACGUCGGAGUUCCAAACAAAUCGGACAAAACUUUCAACAACGGAUCUCUUGGUUCUGGCAUCGAUGAAGAACGCAGCGAAAUGCGAUAAGUAAUGUGAAUUGCAGAAUUCAGUGAAUCAUCGAAUCUUUGAACGCACAUUGCGCCCUUUGGUAUUCCGAAGGGCAUGCCUGUUCGAGCGUCAUUUCACCACUCAAGCCUAGCUUGGUAUUGGGCGCCGCGGUGCUCCGCGCGCCCCAAAGUCUCCCGGCUGAGCCGUCCGUCUCUAAGCGUUGUGGAUUUUUCAGUUCGCUCCGGAGUGCGGGUGGCCGCGGCCGUUAAAUCUUCAAAGGUUGACCUCGGAUCAGGUAGGGAUA
RNAcentral lists this ribosomal RNA (496 nucleotides) under Pseudocercospora musae. RNAcentral's name for it is "eukaryotic LSU rRNA". The stretch from base 171 to 324 matches the Rfam family "5.8S ribosomal RNA". The record is from RNAcentral. Lineage: Eukaryota; Fungi; Ascomycota; Dothideomycetes; Mycosphaerellales; Mycosphaerellaceae.